AACGGGUGAGUAACACGUGAGCAACCUGCCCUUGGCUCUGGGAUAGCCUCCGGAAACGGGGAUUAAUACCGGAUAGGACCUAUGCCCUCAUGGGUGCGGGUGGAAAGUUUUUCGGCCAGGGAGGGGCUCGCGGCCUAUCAGCUUGUUGGGGGGGUGACGGCCCACCAAGGCGACGACGGGUAGCCGGCCUGAGAGGGCGGCCGGCCACACUGGGACUGAGACACGGCCCAGACUCCUGCGGGAGGCAGCAGUGGGGAAUAUUGCGCAAUGGGGGGAACCCUGACGCAGCGACGCCGCGUGCGGGAUGAAGGCCUUCGGGUUGUAGACCGCUUUCAGCAGGGGCGAAUCAGGACGGUACCUGCAGAAGAAGCGCCGGCUAACUACGUGCCAGCAGCCGCGGUAAUACGUAGGGCGCGAGCGUUGUCCGGAAUUAUUGGGCGUAGAGAGCUCGUAGGCGGCUUGUCGCGUCUGCUGUGAAAUCCCGGGGCUUAACCCCGGGCGUGCAGUGGAUACGGGCAGGCUGGAGGCAGGCAGGGGAGAACGGAAUUCCCGGUGUAGCGGUGAAAUGCGCAGAUAUCGGGAGGAACACCGGUGACGAAGGCGGUUCUCUGGGCCUGUUCUGACGCUGAGGAGCGAAAGCGUGGGGAGCGAACAGGAUUAGAUACCCUGGUAGUCCACGCCGUAAACGUUGGGCGCUAGGUGUGGGGUCCUUCCACGGAUUCUGUGCCGGAGCUAACGCAUUAAGCGCCCCGCCUGGGGAGUACGGCCGCAAGGCUAAAACUCGAAGGAAUUGACGGGGGCCCGCAC
RNAcentral lists this ribosomal RNA (807 nucleotides) under uncultured bacterium. RNAcentral describes it as "bacterial SSU rRNA". It matches the Rfam family "Bacterial small subunit ribosomal RNA", at positions 101 to 926 of the family's 1533-position model. The record is from RNAcentral.